This 67-nucleotide transfer RNA is filed under the name Phelsuma lineata (striped day gecko). RNAcentral's name for it is "tRNA-Trp". Lineage: Eukaryota; Metazoa; Chordata; Lepidosauria; Squamata; Gekkonidae. The record is from RNAcentral.
AAGUUUAGGAUAAUUUAAACCAAGGACCUUCAAAGCCCUAAACAGAAGAUCGCCCUUCUAACUUCUG